This 492-nucleotide ribosomal RNA is filed under the name uncultured bacterium. RNAcentral's name for it is "partial 16S ribosomal RNA". It matches the Rfam family "Bacterial small subunit ribosomal RNA", at positions 29 to 507 of the family's 1533-position model. The record is from RNAcentral.
AGUGAACGCUGGCGGUAGGCCUAACACAUGCAAGUCGAACGGCAGCACAGUAAGAGCUUGCUCUUACGGGUGGCGAGUGGCGGACGGGUGAGGAAUACAUCGGAAUCUACUUUUUCGUGGGGGAUAACGUAGGGAAACUUACGCUAAUACCGCAUACGACCUACGGGUGAAAGCAGGGGAUCUUCGGACCUUGCGCGAUUGAAUGAGCCGAUGUCGGAUUAGCUAGUUGGCGGGGUAAAGGCCCACCAAGGCGGCGAUCCGUAGCUGGUCUGAGAGGAUGAUCAGCCACACUGGAACUGAGACACGGUCCAGACUCCUACGGGAGGCAGCAGUGGGGAAUAUUGGACAAUGGGCGCAAGCCUGAUCCAGCCAUACCGCGUGGGUGAAGAAGGCCUUCGGGUUGUAAAGCCCUUUUGCUGGGAAAGAAAAGCAGCAGGUUAAUACCCCGCUGUUCUGACGGUACCCAAAGAAUAAGCACCGGCUAACUUCGUG